Molecule: transfer RNA, 74 nt
Filed under: Deltaproteobacteria bacterium
Lineage: Bacteria; Pseudomonadati; Myxococcota; Myxococcia
Also listed under: 1 other name
Description: tRNA-Pro
Rfam family: tRNA
About the family: Transfer RNA (tRNA) molecules are approximately 80 nucleotides in length. Their secondary structure includes four short double-helical elements and three loops (D, anti-codon, and T loops).
Source: RNAcentral
CGGGGUGUAGCGCAGCCUGGUAGCGCACCUGCUUUGGGAGCAGGGAGUCGGAGGUUCAAAUCCUCUCACCCCGA